Molecule: ribosomal RNA, 440 nt
Filed under: uncultured bacterium
Lineage: Bacteria
Description: partial 16S ribosomal RNA
Rfam family: Bacterial small subunit ribosomal RNA
Source: RNAcentral
CCUACGGGUGGCAGCAGUAGGGAAUAUUGCUCAAUGGGGGAAACCCUGAAGCAGCAACGCCGCGUGGAGGAUGAAGGUUUUCGGAUUGUAAACUCCUUUUGUUAGAGAAGAUAAUGACGGUAUCUAACGAAUAAGCACCGGCUAACUCCGUGCCAGCAGCCGCGGUAAUACGGAGGGUGCAAGCGUUACUCGGAAUCACUGGGCGUAAAGAGCGCGUAGGCGGGAUAGCAAGUCAGAUGUGAAAUCCUAUGGCUUAACCAUAGAACUGCAUUUGAAACUGUUAUUCUAGAGUAUGGGAGAGGUAGGUGGAAUGCUUGGUGGAGGGGUAAAAUGCGUAGAGAUCAAGAGGAAUACUCAUUGCGAAGGCGACCUGCUAGAACAUAACUGACGCUGAUGCGCGAAAGCGUGGGGAGCAAACAGGAUUAGAUACCCCGGUAGUC